RNAcentral lists this ribosomal RNA (253 nucleotides) under uncultured bacterium. RNAcentral describes it as "partial 16S ribosomal RNA". It matches the Rfam family "Bacterial small subunit ribosomal RNA", at positions 524 to 776 of the family's 1533-position model. The record is from RNAcentral.
GACAGAGGCCUCAAGCGUUAGGCGGAAUCACUGGGCUUAAAGCGUGUGUAGGCGGACCCCUAAGUACCUUGUGAAAUCCCACGGCUCAACCGUGGAACGGCUGGGUAUACUGGGGGUCUUGGGCCAUUCAGGGGCGACUGGAACAAGCGGUGGAGCGGUGAAAUGCGUAGAUAUCGCUUGGAACGCCGAAGGUGAAAACAGGUCGCUGGGGAUGUGCCGACGCUGAGACACGAAAGCCAGGGGAGCAAACGGG